GUGGUUGUGGCUCAGUGGUGGAGCGCUUGCCUAGCAUGUGUGAGGCACUGGGUUUGAUUCUCAGCACCACA
RNAcentral lists this transfer RNA (71 nucleotides) under Sciurus carolinensis (gray squirrel). It matches the Rfam family "tRNA". From Rfam's summary of the family: Transfer RNA (tRNA) molecules are approximately 80 nucleotides in length. Their secondary structure includes four short double-helical elements and three loops (D, anti-codon, and T loops). Further hydrogen bonds mediate the characteristic L-shaped molecular structure. tRNAs have two regions of fundamental functional importance: the anti-codon, which is responsible for specific mRNA codon recognition, and the 3' end, to which the tRNAs corresponding amino acid is attached (by aminoacyl-tRNA synthetases). tRNAs cope with the degeneracy of the genetic code in two manners: having more than one tRNA (with a specific anti-codon) for a particular amino acid; and 'wobble' base-pairing, i.e. permitting non-standard base-pairing at the 3rd anti-codon position. Lineage: Eukaryota; Metazoa; Chordata; Mammalia; Rodentia; Sciuridae. RNAcentral also lists the same sequence under 1 other name. The record is from Rfam by way of RNAcentral.